UGAUUAUGCAACGUGGCGUGAGGGGUGAUUUUUGUGCGCUUGUGUUCGAUGUGGUCGACUAGGUUGAUAGAUAUGUGAAUACGAGGAUCUGCAUAAAAUAUACGUGAUAUAUGCGUUCGGCAAGUCGUAAAAAUACCGGGAUUCCCUGGAUAUUCUUUUAAUAUAGCCACAGUAUCUAAUUUAUUCCCUUUAUAAAAGACAGGUAUGACAGUGUACAACUAUUCAGUUGCUUCUGGUUUGUAUAGGUCGAUAACGGCGCCGGCUCGUUUUUACGGUCGGGUUAAGGAAAGAAGGAAAAAAAAUGCUAUAAUCGUUGCCAGAGACCUAGAAACAAGUGACCUCUGCAUCUCUAACAAUUGAGACGAAAAGGAAGGUACUUUGUCACCAUGAUGAGUGACAGAUUUUUAUACCGUUACCCUUUCCUCUAAGCUUAAACUCUACAGCUCUCCUUAACCGAGCCUUGUUAGUUGCUUCAUAAUUCCCUGGAGAGAUGUGCGUCCAU
Molecule: long non-coding RNA, 502 nt
Organism: Wyeomyia smithii (pitcher-plant mosquito)
Lineage: Eukaryota; Metazoa; Arthropoda; Insecta; Diptera; Culicidae
Exons: 3
Source: RefSeq, a predicted model, not a curated record